This 395-nucleotide ribosomal RNA is filed under the name uncultured bacterium. Its description in RNAcentral is "partial 16S ribosomal RNA". It matches the Rfam family "Bacterial small subunit ribosomal RNA", at positions 523 to 918 of the family's 1533-position model. The record is from RNAcentral.
AUACGUAGGGUGCAAGCGUUAAUCGGAAUUACUGGGCGUAAAGCGUGCGCAGGCGGCUUUGGAAGACAGGGGUGAAAUCCAAGGGCUCAACCUGGGAACUGCCUUUGGGACUGCAGAGGGAGAGUAAGGGAGAGGGGGCUGGAAUUACGCGGGUAGCAGGGAAAUGCGUAGAUAUGCGGAGGAACACCGAUGGCGAAGGCAAUCCCCUGGGCCUGUACUGACGCUCAUGCACGAAAGCGUGGGGAGCAAACAGGAUUAGAUACCCUGGUAGUCCACGCCCUAAACGAUGUCAACUGGUUGUUGGGUCUUCAUUGACUCAGUAACGAAGCUAACGCGUGAAGUUGACUGCCUGGGGAGUACGGCCGCAAGGUUGAAACUCAAAUGAAUUGACGGGG